GCCUUUUUGUGGACCUGGAUUUUGGUUCUGAAAUAUUUCCUUUUUUUAUGUUAGGUUAUAGUGAGAUACCCUGGUUGAAGUGUUCCAGUUCUGUACACAGACUCUCCUUUGGACCAGAUGCUAGCUAAAUGCUCACCUGUCACAUAACAGGGUUCUGCAAAAAUAUUCUCAGACUGGAAUCAGCAAAGAAGGCAAGUACCAGAUGUAAGCAAGUGUAUAUAGUACUUCGGAAGUGCAAGCGGAGAAGUAAAUAUUUGCUGUUGAUGCGGUGUUUGCGGUGAAAGAAUCCCAGGCAGCUCCGAGCACAGCAGAGACCCGAAGAGCAGCAGAGCCACAAGGUCGGGGUGUAUUCCCCAGGCAGCUCCCCUUGAGCUUGCCCAGCAGCGCUGGUUAUACGGUGACAGUGGCCGAGGUGACGCUGCUUUCC
Catharus ustulatus (Swainson's thrush) is the source of this 427-nucleotide long non-coding RNA. RefSeq lists it as uncharacterized. The record is from RefSeq and is a predicted model, not a curated record. NCBI's taxonomy places the organism in Eukaryota, Metazoa, Chordata, Aves, Passeriformes, Turdidae. The transcript has 4 exons.